UACGGGGGGGGCAAGCGUUGUUCGGAAUUACUGGGCGUAAAGGGUUCGUAGGUGGCUUGCUAAGUCAGACGUGAAAUCCCUCAGCUUAACUGGGGAACUGCGUCUGAUACUGGCGAGCUUGAGUGCAGGAGAGGAACGCAGAAUUCCAGGUGUAGCGGUGAAAUGCGUAGAUAUCUGGAGGAACACCGGUGGCGAAGGCGGCAUCCUGGACCAACACUGACGCUGAGGAGCGAAAGCCAGGGGAGCAAACGGG
RNAcentral lists this ribosomal RNA (253 nucleotides) under uncultured bacterium. RNAcentral's name for it is "partial 16S ribosomal RNA". It matches the Rfam family "Bacterial small subunit ribosomal RNA", at positions 524 to 776 of the family's 1533-position model. The record is from RNAcentral.